RNAcentral lists this ribosomal RNA (491 nucleotides) under uncultured bacterium. RNAcentral describes it as "partial 16S ribosomal RNA". It matches the Rfam family "Bacterial small subunit ribosomal RNA", at positions 28 to 507 of the family's 1533-position model. The record is from RNAcentral.
GAUGAACGCUGGCUACAGGCUUAACACAUGCAAGUCGAGGGGAAACGACGGGGAAGCUUGCUUCCCCGGGCGUCGACCGGCGCACGGGUGAGUAACGCGUAUCCAACCUGCCUCUGACUGAGGGAUAACCCGUCGAAAGUCGGCCUAAUACCUCAUGGCAUCGUCUGCGGGCAUCCAACGACGAUUAAAGAUUUCAUCGGUCAGAGAUGGGGAUGCGUCUGAUUAGCUUGUUGGCGGGGUAACGGCCCACCAAGGCGACGAUCAGUAGGGGUUCUGAGAGGAAGGUCCCCCACAUUGGAACUGAGACACGGUCCAAACUCCUACGGGAGGCAGCAGUGAGGAAUAUUGGUCAAUGGGCGACAGCCUGAACCAGCCAAGUAGCGUGCAGGAUGACGGCCCUAUGGGUUGUAAACUGCUUUUAUGCGGGGAUAAAGUGAGGGACGUGUCCUUCAUUGCAGGUACCGCAUGAAUAAGGACCGGCUAAUUCCGUG